Molecule: ribosomal RNA, 369 nt
Filed under: uncultured Bacteroidota bacterium
Lineage: Bacteria; Pseudomonadati; Bacteroidota
Description: bacterial SSU rRNA
Rfam family: Bacterial small subunit ribosomal RNA
Source: RNAcentral
UAAUACGGAGGGUGCAAGCGUUAUCCGGAUUUAUUGGGUUUAAAGGGUCCGUAGGCGGAUCAUUAAGUCAGUGGUGAAAGCCGGCAGCUCAACUGUCGAACUGCCAUUGAUACUGAUGAUCUUGAAUACGGUUGAAGUUGGCGGAAUAGGUCAUGUAGCGGUGAAAUGCUUAGAUAUGACCUAGAACACCGAUUGCGAAGGCAGCCAACUAAGCCGUGAUUGACGCUGAGGGACGAAAGCGUGGGGAGCGAACAGGAUUAGAUACCCUGGUAGUCCACGCCGUAAACGAUGAUUACUCGGUAUUGGCUUCGGUCAGUGCCCAAGCGAAAGUGAUAAGUAAUCCACCUGGGGAGUACGCCCGCAAGGGUG